This 608-nucleotide long non-coding RNA is filed under the name Pan troglodytes (chimpanzee). Its description in RNAcentral is "long non-coding RNA NONPTRT004571". Lineage: Eukaryota; Metazoa; Chordata; Mammalia; Primates; Hominidae. The record is from RNAcentral.
AGGGCACAGACCCAGGAGCGAGAUAGGAUUCAAGUCAUGGUUCUACCAGUUACAGCUGCGUGACCUUGGGACUGAUGAACCUUCCUGGCCCAAAAUUAUGCCUGGGAAAGCAAGGAAUGGAGCUGGCUUUCCUAGCUCUCCAAGGAAUGGAGGAGCCAUCCCUGUCUAGCUCCUCCAGGUGAACGGGCAGGUGCGGCCACAAACAGCAUGACGCAGACGGAAGACACAACCAUCUCUGCCUUUCUCAGAAUUUUCUUUCCUAACAGUGAAGCAUGCCAUUUUUUAAACCACCAGACAGUCUCUUAGCCUCUACAGUCCUGGCUAAAUUGCCUAUAAUCCUGAGAAAAGCAGCUGUUCCCUGUCCCUGGUCCCCUGCCAAAGGCUCUGAGCCUGACCUCAAACUCACACUUUGGGGUUUAUUUAUGUGACUUUGGAGUUACUAUUCUCAAAUGGUACCUGGAGCCUGAGUUCAUGCUUAUGCUACUCUACCUCCAAAACCAAAGCAUCCCACUGACCUGGACAACCUCGAUCUGACAACCCUAAACUUCUGAACUACAAAUAAACUCCUUGGAAUAACCAUCUCCCCAAGAAGACCAUGUCUCACUCAA